This 707-nucleotide long non-coding RNA is filed under the name Oryctolagus cuniculus (rabbit). RNAcentral describes it as "lncRNA (ENSOCUG00000032335.1)". The record is from RNAcentral. Lineage: Eukaryota; Metazoa; Chordata; Mammalia; Lagomorpha; Leporidae.
UAAUUUUUUAUGAUUUAUUUAUGUAUAUGAAAGUCAGAGUUACACAGAGAGAGGAGAGGCAGAGAGAGAGUGGUCUUCCAUCUGAUGGUUCACUUCCCAAUUGGCCGCAAUGGCCAGAGCUGCUCUGAUCCGAAGCCAGGAGCCAGGAGCUUCUUCUGGGUCUCCCAUGCAGGUGCAGGGCCCCAAGGACUUGGGCCAUCUUCCACUGCUUUCCCAGGCCAUAGCAGAGAGCUGGAUUGGAAGUGGAACAGACGUGACUCGAACCAGUGCUCAUAUGGGAUGCUGGUGCUCCAGGCCAUGGAGUUAAUCUGCUGCACCACAGCGCUGGCCCCUCCUCUGAUUUUAAAAGCUACUGAUUUACAAGCUGUGAAUGAAUUGAAGCCUUCAGCAACAGGAAGCUCUGCCGUUGGGAAACCCUAUAGCUACAGCUGCAGCCCAGGGACCUGCUUGACUGCUUACAGGAAAACUCACUCCAGGAGCCCUCUGUAAUCAGAGUUGUUAACCAGAAGGAAAUGUCUUCAGUGUUCUUACAUGGCUCUUAAUCAGAUACUGACAGAGUGCCUUUGAUCAAUGCAUUUGCACCAUGAGGUUAGCCAUAGGGUUCAGUAUGUCCACAUAGAUUUCACAGUCAGCUCCAAAUGUACACAACCAACAGAGAAGCUAUUCAAGGCUGAUCCUGUUGCUGGCUCCAUCUCUGUCCUCUCAAC